CUUUUUUAAAGUAGGUAAUAUAAUAUGAACUAUUGUUCAAUUCUGUUUAAGAUGAAGAAGAUAAAUGUGUCAUAGAAGGCAACAAUUGUACAUUUAUCCGUGAUUUGAAUAAAAUUAAACCUUCAGAAAACAGAGAAACACUAGAAUUACUAUUGAAGGAAUUUUUUGAAUAUUUUGGCAAUUUUGCGUUCAAUAAGAAUUCCAUAAAUAUUCGACAGGGACAAGAGCAAAACAAACCUGAUUCUUCUCCGCUGUAUAUUCAGAAUCCAUUUGAAACUUCUCUCAACGUAAGCAAAAAUGUAAAUCAGGGACAGCUACAAAGAUUUGUUGACUUGGCCAGAGAAAGUGCCUGGGUUUUACAACAGGAAGAUGCAGGCCCACCUUCCCCUUCAAGCAGGCAGCCCUGGGGGCUGGCUGCCCUGCUGCUGCCGUCUGUAGCACAGAGCAAGAAGGUACAGAAGAAGAUGCCAAGUGAAAGAAUUAAAAGCCUGUUAGAGUCUGUGAAAAGCAACAGAACACAAAGUACAACAAACACCAGUGAGAACCAUACAGCUAGUUCUCGGACAUAGUGGCUGCUAUUUUGUGUUAAGAACUGGUACCUGAAACUGGUGUGUCCAGACUUUGGUGACUUUGGGUAUGAUCUGCUGUCCCUUUUGCAGUCUUCUCAUUGCCUAGCCCCUCUCCCAACUCUGACCCAGAGUUCUGGAACAUUUUCAGUCUUACCAGCCUGGCACAUGGGUGGCAUUUUAUUAAACAAGUCACAAGGAUGGAAUGAAAGAAGAUUGGAGUGAACUUUAAGUGAGCCACACAAAGUGAGUGGUAAAAGUCAGUUUUAGAAUUAAACCGCUGUUGAUACCCACAUCACUCCCAGGUUGGAAAACACUGAAGAGGACUUCUAGUUAUGUACAUGUGAAGAUAAAUACAAUAAACCUUCAAAAUUUCAUAGUACUCUUUAGUAUGUAUUUUUCUGUUUUUCAAGCAAACUGUUCUUACACAUAAAUUAAAAUGGGAUGAUACUGAAACUCAAAAGUGUUUUUAAAAUAUAUGAGCACAGAUACUUUAUUCACUAUACUCAAGGUGUUCUAAGUUGAACAUAUAAAAAUGUUAAUAUAUCAUGUUCUAAAGUACUAUUGUUUUCAAUUUUACAAACACCACAUCCAGGUGUGGGUGUACAUUCCUGCAAUCCCAGCGCUCAGGAUGCUGUAGCAGGAGAAUCGCUGGAGUGUGAGGCCAUCCUGGGCUACAUAGUGAGACCCUGUCUCAAAAAAAAAAAAAGAAAAGAAAACAAGUUUCUACUAAAAUGUGAUACAGAUUCCCAAUGUGCCUUCACUUCUUUUGAAAAUUCUCUCCCUACUGUAGGAAGAAAGGGAGGAAAGAGAGCAAACAGUAACUUUCAGUAUAAGAAGCAAAGAAUGUUAUUCGCUCUUUCUAGGCCCUAGAUGUUUUUCUUUAAAAUCCUGAUAAUAGCGACCACUGCACUAGAUUUUUUUUAAAGCUGAGGAGCACAGGAUUGAGAUAGGUUACGUAUUAAAUAUCUCUUAACCUGAAAUGCUUAGAAAAAAAUGUGUGCCAGACAUUUUUGCAUUCUAAGGUUUGCCUAUACAUAAAACAAUAUCGAGGAUAGGACUCAAGCCUAAUUUAUGUUUCAUGUAUCCCUUAUACAUACCCUGAAGAUACUUUUUUUUUACAAUAUAUAUAAUAAUAUUGUACAUGAAACAAAGUUUUGGGGUAGAAUUUUCUACUUAAGGGAUCAUGUUAGCAUUUGAAUUAGGAAUGGCCAACCUAUAAAAUUGCUCUUUAGCUAUGACUUUCAAGUGUUUGUUGUGUUCAGUUAUUAUCACUAAAAUUCAAAUUUAAAGUUUAUAAUGGCUUUAAAAAAUUUUGCUCUUAAAUUUUAAGUCA
This is a long non-coding RNA of Octodon degus (degu), 1902 nucleotides long. RefSeq lists it as uncharacterized. The transcript is spliced from 3 exons. The record is from RefSeq and is a predicted model, not a curated record. NCBI's taxonomy places the organism in Eukaryota, Metazoa, Chordata, Mammalia, Rodentia, Octodontidae.